AGGGAAUCUUCCACAAUGGACGGAAGUCUGAUGGAGCAAUACCACGUGAACGAUGAAGGUCUUCUGAUUGUAAAGUUCUUUUAUUUAGGAAAAAAAGCGCGCUAGGAAAUGAGCGCGCCUUGAUGGUACUAAUUGAAUAAGUGACAGCUAACUAUGUGCCAGCAGCUGCGGUAAAACAUAGGUCACGAGCAUUAUCCGGAUUUAUUGGGCGUAAAGGAAGCGUAGGUGGGGAGGUUGAUCCAUUGUUAAAGGCAUUUGCUUAACAAAUGUAUGCGAUGGAGAUCGCCUCCCUAGAGUUAAUCAGGGGGUACUGGAAUUCAAUGUGUAGCGGUGGAAUGCGUAGAUAUAUUGAGGAACACCAGAGGCUAAGGCGAGUACCUAGGAUAUAACUGACACUGAGGCUUGAAAGCGUGGGGAGCAAACA
This 424-nucleotide ribosomal RNA is filed under the name uncultured bacterium. Its description in RNAcentral is "bacterial SSU rRNA". It matches the Rfam family "Bacterial small subunit ribosomal RNA", at positions 356 to 774 of the family's 1533-position model. The record is from RNAcentral.